CCGUAGGGUGAACCUGCGGAAGGAUCAUUACCUUUCAAUGCAGCAGAAUUGGGAUGGUUGAGUAUCUCGCCUCUCAGUUCUGCCUGUAUUCUACCCUUGUUUGUCAUAUACUAUUAUUUCCUCGGCAGGCUUGCCUGCCGAGUGAAACCAUUUAUAACCUUUUUAAUUUUCAAUCAGCGUCUGAAAAAAUUUAAUAAUUACAACUUUCAACAACGGAUCUCUUGGUUCUGGCAUCGAUGAAGAACGCAGCGAAAUGCGAUAAGUAGUGUGAAUUGCAGAAUUCAGUGAAUCAUCGAAUCUUUGAACGCACAUUGCGCCCCUUGGUAUUCCAUGGGGCAUGCCUGUUCGAGCGUCAUUUGUACCUUCAAGCUUUGCUUGGUGUUGGGUGUUUGUCCCGAGGGACUCGCCUUAAAGUAAUUGGCAGCCAGUGUUUGGUUUUGAAGCGCAGCACAAGUCGCGAUUCAAGGCUACACGCCCGCUUCCACAAGCCUUUUUUCACUUUUGACCUCGGAUCAGGUAGGGAUACCCGCUGAACUUAAGCAUAUCAAUAAGCGGAGGA
RNAcentral lists this ribosomal RNA (559 nucleotides) under fungal endophyte. RNAcentral describes it as "eukaryotic LSU rRNA". The stretch from base 202 to 355 matches the Rfam family "5.8S ribosomal RNA". Lineage: Eukaryota; Fungi. The record is from RNAcentral.